RNAcentral lists this ribosomal RNA (253 nucleotides) under uncultured bacterium. RNAcentral's name for it is "partial 16S ribosomal RNA". It matches the Rfam family "Bacterial small subunit ribosomal RNA", at positions 524 to 776 of the family's 1533-position model. The record is from RNAcentral.
UGCGUAGGGGGCUAGCGUUGUCCGGAUUUAUUGGGCGUAAAGAGCGUGUAGGCGGCCAGGUAGGUCUGGUGUGAAAACUCGAGGCUCAACCUCGAGACGCCGGUGGAAACUGCAAAGCUAGAGUCCGGAAGAGGAGAGUGGAAUUCCUGGUGUAGCGGUGAAAUGCGCAGAUAUCAGGAAGAACACCCGUGGCGAAGGCGGCUCUCUGGGACGGUACUGACGCUGAGACGCGAAAGCGUGGGGAGCGAACAGG